Molecule: transfer RNA, 67 nt
Filed under: Ictidomys tridecemlineatus (thirteen-lined ground squirrel)
Lineage: Eukaryota; Metazoa; Chordata; Mammalia; Rodentia; Sciuridae
Description: Spermophilus tridecemlineatus (thirteen-lined ground squirrel) tRNA
Rfam family: tRNA
About the family: Transfer RNA (tRNA) molecules are approximately 80 nucleotides in length. Their secondary structure includes four short double-helical elements and three loops (D, anti-codon, and T loops).
Source: Rfam by way of RNAcentral
GGUUGUGGCUCAGUAGUAGAGCGCUUGCCUAGCAUGCAUGAGGCACUAGGUUUGAUCCCCAGCACCA